RNAcentral lists this ribosomal RNA (522 nucleotides) under Salmonella enterica subsp. enterica serovar Virchow. RNAcentral describes it as "bacterial SSU rRNA". It matches the Rfam family "Bacterial small subunit ribosomal RNA", at positions 1011 to 1533 of the family's 1533-position model. The record is from RNAcentral. Lineage: Bacteria; Pseudomonadati; Pseudomonadota; Gammaproteobacteria; Enterobacterales; Enterobacteriaceae.
UUGGUGCCUUCGGGAACUGUGAGACAGGUGCUGCAUGGCUGUCGUCAGCUCGUGUUGUGAAAUGUUGGGUUAAGUCCCGCAACGAGCGCAACCCUUAUCCUUUGUUGCCAGCGAUUAGGUCGGGAACUCAAAGGAGACUGCCAGUGAUAAACUGGAGGAAGGUGGGGAUGACGUCAAGUCAUCAUGGCCCUUACGACCAGGGCUACACACGUGCUACAAUGGCGCAUACAAAGAGAAGCGACCUCGCGAGAGCAAGCGGACCUCAUAAAGUGCGUCGUAGUCCGGAUUGGAGUCUGCAACUCGACUCCAUGAAGUCGGAAUCGCUAGUAAUCGUGGAUCAGAAUGCCACGGUGAAUACGUUCCCGGGCCUUGUACACACCGCCCGUCACACCAUGGGAGUGGGUUGCAAAAGAAGUAGGUAGCUUAACCUUCGGGAGGGCGCUUACCACUUUGUGAUUCAUGACUGGGGUGAAGUCGUAACAAGGUAACCGUAGGGGAACCUGCGGUUGGAUCACCUCCUUA